RNAcentral lists this transfer RNA (74 nucleotides) under Candidatus Naiadarchaeales archaeon SRR2090153.bin461. Its description in RNAcentral is "tRNA-Ala". It matches the Rfam family "tRNA". From Rfam's summary of the family: Transfer RNA (tRNA) molecules are approximately 80 nucleotides in length. Their secondary structure includes four short double-helical elements and three loops (D, anti-codon, and T loops). The record is from RNAcentral. Lineage: Archaea; Nanobdellati; Candidatus Undinarchaeota; Candidatus Undinarchaeia; Candidatus Naiadarchaeales.
GGGCCGGUAGAUCAGCCCGGUAGAUCGCCUGCAUGGCAUGCAGGAGGCCGCGUGUUCAAAUCACGUCCGGUCCA